This 207-nucleotide unclassified non-coding RNA is filed under the name Glomus sp. RNAcentral describes it as "partial contains 5.8S ribosomal RNA and internal transcribed spacer 2". The stretch from base 1 to 65 matches the Rfam family "5.8S ribosomal RNA", at positions 84 to 154 of the family's 154-position model. Lineage: Eukaryota; Fungi; Glomeromycota; Glomeromycetes; Glomerales; Glomeraceae. The record is from RNAcentral.
GUGAAUCAUCGAAUUUUUGAACGCAAAUUGCACUCUCUUCGGAGAGUAUGCCUGUUUGAGGGUCAGCCUAAAAAAAAAAUAGACAUAGUCGCUGUUGCGCGGGUAAAGUCUUCGGAAAUUGGGUCAUCUUAAAUCUUGUGGCUUUAAGCGGCUUAAAAUUUUCUUUACGAUUCCAACGAAGGUGCUAAGGUGUAAUUUGUACAACCU